RNAcentral lists this ribosomal RNA (253 nucleotides) under uncultured bacterium. RNAcentral's name for it is "partial 16S ribosomal RNA". It matches the Rfam family "Bacterial small subunit ribosomal RNA", at positions 524 to 776 of the family's 1533-position model. The record is from RNAcentral.
UACGAAGGGUGCAAGCGUUACUCGGAAUUACUGGGCGUAAAGCGUGCGUAGGUGGUGAGUUAAGUCUGUCGUGAAAGCCCCGGGCUCAACCUGGGAAUGGCGAUGGAUACUGGCUCGCUAGAGUGCGGUAGAGGAGAGUGGAAUUCCCGGUGUAGCAGUGAAAUGCGUAGAGAUCGGGAGGAACAUCAGUUGCGAAGGCGGCUCUCUGGACCAGCACUGACACUGAGGCACGAGAGCGUGGGGAGCAAACAGG